This is a long non-coding RNA of Rhipicephalus sanguineus (brown dog tick), 1164 nucleotides long. RefSeq lists it as uncharacterized. NCBI's taxonomy places the organism in Eukaryota, Metazoa, Arthropoda, Arachnida, Ixodida, Ixodidae. The record is from RefSeq and is a predicted model, not a curated record. The transcript is spliced from 3 exons.
GUGUGUGUUUGCUCGCGUGUGUGCUCGUGCGCGCGCGUGUGCGUGCGUGCUCGCGCGUGUGUGUGCUCGUGCGCGUAUGUGCUCGCGUGUGUGCGCGUGCGUGUGUGUGUGUGUGUAUGUGUGUGUGUGCUUUUUGCUUUAGUCGGCUCAGUGCCUCGGGUUUUCAACGUCACCACGUAUCAACCCAACCAGACGGGCUUCCGUCAGACUUCAAACUUCUGCGUCUUGACCUAACUUGAAACCUUACCACAAAUAUAUGCUGAAGUCAUCUUCAUUCCAUAGUUGCACUCAUACAGAUCACAAUGUACGGCAUUCAAAAUUCAGAUAAUUCAUGCUCAUACGCUGCUGUAAGAGUUGGGUCGAGUCAGAAAAAUAAAUUGUCAUGCUUUUACGCAUUGUUGCCGGCAGUAUUUGCUCUGCGUCGCUCGAUUACGUCUAACUGCUUCGCUAUCAAAACGGGGCAGCUGAGAAUAUGUUACGCGAUAAGCGAUACGCUGUGGCUUAACGAUUUUUCAGAUAGCACGAAUGCCAGCAAUCGUGCGACGUAGGAGUUCAAAGGGGGACAUGGUCAGUGUGGUUGGUAUGUCUUUCGAUGUCCUUAGUUCCUGGGCGAUAAAAAUUUGUUCUCUGGCACUGAGAUAACUUUUUUUGUGUUCUCGUUCUGUUCUAGGGUGCAAGCAACGUGUCAUUGUGGUUAGAAAAAAAUGAAUCAGUAUACAUGUGAUUUAACUGUCAAAGCCGGAAUGUUUAAAGCAUACAUCCCGCAGGUAUGCUGGGAUGAUCUCCUAUCAGGCAGCUUGGAAACUUCCAGACGCCGAUAUGCCUUACGUUCGGUGCAGCCGAGGUUAUGAACUGUCAAGUGGAAUAUGCCCCUUGAGGAAAACAAUUAGGAUCGACUGUCCACUCAGCGAGGAGAUUGCGGAAUCAGCAACUGACAUAUUGACUGAUGAAACAUGAUGGUGCGUGCAGCAAGAGAGGGUUUGACUGCAGAUCCUGACCACCUGCUCCUGUAAAUUUGUACCAACCACAGGCGAAAACAAGAAGAAACGCUUUGAAUACCUGCGGUCUUCUAUCAGCUAGACAAGUCCCUGAAGCUAUAAAUCAAUAAACUUUGAUGUAUUCUGCUUUGGAGGUAUAAAGCAAUGAAAUAUGAAUUCUUUUCGA